This 1373-nucleotide ribosomal RNA is filed under the name uncultured bacterium. RNAcentral describes it as "16S ribosomal RNA". It matches the Rfam family "Bacterial small subunit ribosomal RNA". The record is from RNAcentral.
AGAGUUUGAUCCUGGCUCAGGAUGAACGCUGGCGGCGUGCUUAACACAUUCAAGUCGAACGGAGAACGGGGAGCUUGCUCCCCGGGAUCAGUGGCGGACGGGUGAGUAACGCGUGAGCAACCUGCCUGUGUGUGGGGGAUAACACCCGGAAACGGGUGCUAAUACCGCAUAACGCAACGGAGCCGCAUGACUUUGUUGCCAAAGAUAUAUUGCGCACAGAUGGGCUCGCGUCUGAUUAGAUAGUUGGUGGGGUAACGGCUCACCAAGUCGACGAUCAGUAGCCGGACUGAGAGGUUGAACGGCCACAUUGGAACUGAGAUACGGUCCAGACUCCUACGGGAGGCAGCAGUGGGGAAUAUUGGGCAAUGGGGGAAACCCUGACCCAGCAACGCCGCGUGAAGGAAGAAGGCCUUCGGGUUGUAAACUUCUUUUACCAGGGGCGAAACAAAUGACGGUACCUGGAGAAAAAGCAACGGCUAACUACGUGCCAGCAGCCGCGGUAAUACGUAGGUUGCGAGCGUUGUCCGGAUUUACUGGGUGUAAAGGGCGUGUAGGCGGAGAUGCAAGUUGGGAGUGGAAUCCAUGGGCUCAACCCAUGAACUGCUUCCAAAACUGUAUCCCUUGAGUAUCGGAGAGGCAAGCGGAAUUCCUAGUGUAGCGGUGAAAUGCGUAGAUAUUGGGAGGAACACCAGUGGCGAAGGCGGCCUGCUGGACAUUAACUGACGCUGAGGAGCGAAAGCGUGGGGAGCAAACAGGAUUAGAUACCCUGGUAGUCCACGCCGUAAACGAUGGAUACUAGGUGUGGGAGGUAUUGACCCCUUCCGUGCCGCAGUUAACACAUUAAGUAUCCCACCUGGGGAGUACGACCGCAAGGUUGAAACUCAAAGGAAUUGACGGGGGCCCGCACAAGCAGUGGAGUAUGUGGUUUAAUUCGACGCAACGCGAAGAACCUUACCAAGUCUUGACAUCCCUUGACGAUGCUGGAAACAGUAUUUCUCUUCGGAGCAAGGAGACAGGUGGUGCAUGGUUGUCGUCAGCUCGUGUCGUGAGAUGUUGGGUUAAGUCCCGCAACGAGCGCAACCCUUAUGGUCAGUUACUACGCAAGAGGACUCUGGCCAGACUGCCGUUGACAAAACGGAGGAAGGUGGGGAUGACGUCAAAUCAUCAUGCCCUUUAUGACUUGGGCUACACACGUACUACAAUGGCGUUAAACAAAGAGAAGCAAGACCGCGAGGUGGAGCAAAACUCAGAAACAACGUCCCAGUUCGGACUGCAGGCUGCAACUCGCCUGCACGAAGUCGGAAUUGCUAGUAAUCGUGGAUCAGCAUGCCACGGUGAAUACGUUCCUCGGGCCUUGUACUCACCGCCCGUCA